This 615-nucleotide unclassified non-coding RNA is filed under the name Hevea brasiliensis (rubber tree). The record is from RNAcentral. Lineage: Eukaryota; Viridiplantae; Streptophyta; Magnoliopsida; Malpighiales; Euphorbiaceae.
AAAAAAAAAAAAAUCAUGAAAGUUCAAAUUUUGUUUCAAUAAAGCCACUGGGGACAUAUUCUAGUGACUAGCAACCAAAAUUGUGACAUGGCACCAAUCUACUUAAUGGCCCUAACUGAGAGAGAAAGCAAUUUUAGCUUUAAAUGAUGAAUUUUUGCAUCUAUAGCUUGAGUAAAAUAGCUUGUCAUGGACUACCACAUCAAAUUCCAGGGCUCCAGGCAAGUUUCUGACUGGACAGAAUGUGGCUCAAGUAACGUUAACGUUAAGAAAUUGAGCUAUUGAAUAUAUUUCCAAAAUGAAUAGGACUUUAGUUACUGCACUAAAAUUAAGGGUAAGUUGAGUGACUUUGGAUUAAAUUUAGCCCACUUGACAAUAUAAGUCAAACAUAAUGAGAUAAAGAGGGUGAUCAAUAGCAUAAUUGUUGUAAAGUUCAACUCAGCUAAGUAAUAUAACAAUGUACCUUAAGUGAUCUAGCAUAUAGCUUUAUAUCUAAAUAUUAUUAAAGCAAUAAAUGAAUGGGAAGCUAUAAACGAUUUCUUUGGAAAGGAAAUAAACAAAAAGUUACUCAGAAAUAGGGAAGAGUUCUAUUCUUAUACAAGACCCAAAAAAAAAAAA